Molecule: ribosomal RNA, 253 nt
Filed under: uncultured bacterium
Lineage: Bacteria
Description: partial 16S ribosomal RNA
Rfam family: Bacterial small subunit ribosomal RNA
Source: RNAcentral
GACGAACCGUGCGAACGUUAUUCGGAAUCACUGGGCUUAAAGCGCGUGUAGGCGGGUCAGCACGUCGGGCGCUGAAAUCCCCCGGCUCAACCGGGGAACGGGCACCGAUACGACUGGCCUGGAGGGGAGUAGGGGGACCUGGAACUUCCGGUGGAGCGGUGAAAUGCGUUGAGAUCGGAAGGAACGCCCGUGGCGAAAGCGAGGUCCUGGGCUCUUACUGACGCUGAGACGCGAAAGCCAGGGGAGCGAACGG